GUGUGAAUUGCAGAAUUCCGCGAAUCAUCGAGUUUUUGAACGCAAGUUGCGCCCGAGGCUUGACCAAGGGCAUCUCUGCCAGAGCGUCACCGCGACACCCACCAGCUCCCCCCCUCCUUUGGGGGGUGGGCCGAGUGAAAGUGGCCGUCCGAACGGGGAUGCUGGGCCACGUCCAGCAUCAUGUUGGGUCGGCUGAAAUGGAGGGAAUUGGGGCGGCCGUGGUGACACAGCCCGCGAUCAGGUGAUCCAAGAAUAACUUCUUGGAACUUCCAAGUGCGGCGCUGCGUCCCCCUAGCAGGUCGGUCCCGGAUUCCAAAGCAGGUCCCCUCUCCCCCUCCCUCCCCGGGAGCGAGAGGGAAACACGUCACGCAUCAGACCUCUGAUCAGAGAAGACUACCCGCCGAGUUUAA
This 410-nucleotide ribosomal RNA is filed under the name Fissidens exilis. RNAcentral's name for it is "eukaryotic LSU rRNA". The stretch from base 1 to 89 matches the Rfam family "5.8S ribosomal RNA", at positions 65 to 154 of the family's 154-position model. Lineage: Eukaryota; Viridiplantae; Streptophyta; Bryopsida; Dicranales; Fissidentaceae. The record is from RNAcentral.